GUCAGGAUGGCUGAGCAGUCUAAGGCGCUGCGUUCAGGUCGCAGUCUCCCAUGGAGGUGUGGGUUUGAAUCCCACUUCUGACA
This 83-nucleotide transfer RNA is filed under the name Danio rerio (zebrafish). Its description in RNAcentral is "tRNA-Leu (CAG) (tRNA-Leu-CAG-101-1)". It matches the Rfam family "tRNA". Rfam says of the family: Transfer RNA (tRNA) molecules are approximately 80 nucleotides in length. Their secondary structure includes four short double-helical elements and three loops (D, anti-codon, and T loops). Further hydrogen bonds mediate the characteristic L-shaped molecular structure. tRNAs have two regions of fundamental functional importance: the anti-codon, which is responsible for specific mRNA codon recognition, and the 3' end, to which the tRNAs corresponding amino acid is attached (by aminoacyl-tRNA synthetases). tRNAs cope with the degeneracy of the genetic code in two manners: having more than one tRNA (with a specific anti-codon) for a particular amino acid; and 'wobble' base-pairing, i.e. permitting non-standard base-pairing at the 3rd anti-codon position. Lineage: Eukaryota; Metazoa; Chordata; Actinopteri; Cypriniformes; Danionidae. The record is from Rfam by way of RNAcentral.